UACGGUUAACUAGUAAAACAAGUUAUUGAUAAUGAUAUUUAUCAAAUCAUUUUCAAAAACAAUGUUUUCAUAUUAUAUUUUAAUUUAAAAAUUAAAUUUAAAAUAUAAUUUAGAACCUAUUAAUUAAUAAAAAUUGCUUAAUCGCCCUAUAAUUCAAUGGUGCCUCCUAAAAGUUAAAAUUUUAAUUAAAGCAGUCCUUUUUUGGCGGUUAGAUCGUACAACUGCAAACUCUAUUCACACCCUGUGGCUAUACACUAUAUACCCUAAAUAAUCCAACUUUCAUUUAAAUUUAGAUUUUAUUGACCAUGAAACAAUUCACGAACUACCUGUUGAAACGUUUAUCACUUAAGAAAAGUGCAGUUAUUACAACAACAAUCGAACUUUACGAGUAUCAUCAUCUGAGCAUACCGUGGUUAUUAAAUAAUAACGAUCGAGCCAAGACAUCUGAAUGAUCGCAGCUGCAGCAGUGUGUCGACUAAUGAAAAAGUCGAUUUUCGCCUACGAAGUCUACAGUAUAAUACGAUAUAUAUUAUUGCUGCGUGCGGAUGACCGAGCGGUUUAACGACGACGACUAGCUAGAUGUACGACGAUGACCAUUGACGAGCCUGAGCCGGAGUUUGUUUAUUUUUUGUUGACGAGUGAAAAUUAUUAAAAGUCACAAUACUAUAACAAUACCUACAGUGGCCGAACUCUACAGGUACUGCACGCGUAUAUAAUAUACGAAAGGCUGGCAUUUUAUCGGGAGAGUGCAACGACGGACCCGCCGGAGAAGACGGUUAUAUUAUUAUUGCGAUUCGCGAACAGUCGGAGCAGUACAGGAUGAUAGUCUUUACGCGGAUGGCAGCGAACUAACCUAAGCUGCUUUCUUCCUCGUUUGGUUCGCGACGUUCCACGCCGAAGCGGUAUUAUAUGUAUAUAUUUGACGAGGACUUGAAAAAUCAGUUGAGAAAAUAGAUAUUCA
Aphis gossypii (cotton aphid) is the source of this 961-nucleotide long non-coding RNA. RefSeq lists it as uncharacterized. The record is from RefSeq and is a predicted model, not a curated record. The transcript is spliced from 5 exons. Lineage: Eukaryota; Metazoa; Arthropoda; Insecta; Hemiptera; Aphididae.